Non-coding RNA from Podarcis lilfordi (Lilford's wall lizard), 104 nucleotides. NCBI's taxonomy places the organism in Eukaryota, Metazoa, Chordata, Lepidosauria, Squamata, Lacertidae. The record is from the annotation of a GenBank genome assembly.
CUUUGCUGCUUUAAAACGAGCCACAGAGGGGGGACGGGGGGUGGUGGAUGGGAGCCAUGUCUCCCCUUCCUUCCCUCCUCUGUGGCUCACUUUAAAGCAGCAAA